AAUAGAUACCCAGGUAGUCCACGCCGUAAACGAUGAGUGCUAGGUGUUAGGGGGUUUCCACCCCUUAGUGCUGCAGCUAACGCAUUAAGCACUCCGCCUGGGGAGUACGGUCGCAAGACUGAAACUCAAAGGAAUUGACGGGGGCCCGCACAAGCGGUGGAGCAUGUGGUUUAAUUCGAAGCAACGCGAAGAACCUUACCAGGUCUUGACAUCCCGCUGACCGCCAUGGAGACAUGGCUUUUCCCUUCGGGGACAGCGGUGACAGGUGGUGCAUGGUUGUCGUCAGCUCGUGUCGUGAGAUGUUGGGUUAAGUCCCGCAACGAGCGCAACCCUUGUCCUUAGUUGCCAUCAUUCAGUUGGGCACUCUAAGGAGACUGCCGUACAAAUACGGAGGAAGGUGGGGAUGACGUCAAAUCAUCAUGCCCCUUAUGACCUGGGCUACACACGUGCUACAAUGGGCGGUACAAAGGGCUGCGAACCCGCGAGGGGAGCCAAUCCCAAAAAGCCGCUCUCAGUUCGGUAUUGCGAGG
This 530-nucleotide ribosomal RNA is filed under the name uncultured bacterium. Its description in RNAcentral is "bacterial SSU rRNA". It matches the Rfam family "Bacterial small subunit ribosomal RNA", at positions 777 to 1305 of the family's 1533-position model. The record is from RNAcentral.